Long non-coding RNA from Nomia melanderi (Alkali bee), 1943 nucleotides. RefSeq lists it as uncharacterized. NCBI's taxonomy places the organism in Eukaryota, Metazoa, Arthropoda, Insecta, Hymenoptera, Halictidae. The record is from RefSeq and is a predicted model, not a curated record.
GGAAGCUUUCGGAUCGGCGUGGAGGCCGGGCGCAGUGCAGUUUUUCUCGUUGGCUGGCGGAUCGUCGACGCGGACGAACAGUAGCAAUGCUGGAAAUGCGGUUGAAUCAGGUUUUGGAGGUUAACAUGGAUAUGCGAGAAAUCAAGUCAGAGAGGAAGAGAAAGAUAUGAGAAGAAAGAGGCGACUCAUUAGUAAAUCUAGCUGACAGGUUUUACAAGGAAAUAUACGAUAACGAUGUCCAUAAAGAUUAAACUAUGGCAGAAAAUCAUUCUUACAAAAGUAUUUUACUUCGAUUUGAUCUCUGCAGUACUGUCGCGUAUUCACAAACAGCAAUGGAUGUAUCGAAAAAAAGGACACGUGAAAUAACUUGUGGCGAACUAUUGCUGGCGUGUGGACGUGGCAUCAUGGAACAUGCGAUCGGAGAUUUUUCUUCUUUUUUGUUACGGGACAAGCAUGAAUUCCCCAAGGUACGCCGAUAACCGUAUUAUCGUGCUCGAACGUUUGACGUCCACGUGCACGUGUCUAUCAUCGUUUCGUGUCUGAAGCGAACUUCGCGUUCGACGGCUCGGCCUCGGAAAAAAUUCGUUGACUUCAAACCUCGAUCGCAUCGAUACACGAAUUUCGAAGUAAAGAAGAUCCUCUGUGCCUAUAUACCUGAAUACGUAUUUUACUAAAUUAUUAAGCUUAUUUGUACAAUACAAAUAUUUUCCCUAUAUUUCCUUUCUUUCUUUUUCUAUUUAUUUUUUUUAAUAUACAAGUACAAUAUAUAAUGGAAACUGCACUUCACUGUUUUCAUAGUUCAAUAGAUAGUAAAUCAAUAACAGCGAACAACACGGAACAUUUCCAAAAGUUUCAAACAUUUUCGAUGUUCACUUUUUGAAUUAAAAAAAUUAAAGGUAUACUUAUAAAACUAAAAAAUUGAAGACAUUUUUUAAAUACAUGCCUUUAAUGAUAGUAGUAUUCCGAAGACGCUUGUUUUCGAAGAGUAAGCAUUCAACAGAACGUCAAAAAAUGAGAAUGAAGAAAAACAGAAAUCAAAAAAUAAAAUUCACGUGCUUAAAAACAUCGGGGCGAGCUUUCUGCCCCACAAGAGGGAAAACUUUGAAAGAUUUUCUAAGCGUCUGGUAUGCGAAGUCGCGUGUCUUUUACGACUUCUCAAAGUUUUCCGGGAACCAAUACAAAGCCGGCAGGAAUGCGAAGGGAGCAGUUCUUAGAGAAUUAUUGCCGCUAGAUGCACACGAUGCAGAUACACACAACCGAUAAUCGCAAUAACGUUAAGACCAAUGAUAAUGACGCCAAUUUCAUUUUCCCGGAGUCAGCUUGCGUCAGUAUUUCCACCGUUAUUUUAAAAGUGUGAUUGCCAUGCGACUUUUUCCGGCUUCCAACAUUUAAAUGACAUCUGCAGGCAGUUUUUAUCCUCUUGAUAAAUAGACGCUUAAUCGAAUAGUAAUAAGUAACAAAUAAAAAUAAUCUUUAUCACUGAAUGAUUUAAUAAACUGUACAGAUACAAAUUUAAUGGUCGAAAAUAAUAUUAUUGUGUUUAAACAUCAAAAUUUUAGUUUACAUUAGAAAUUGUUUAUUAUUUAUAUUAACAUAAUAAUUACUUUUUUACUAAUGUUUCGUGGAGAAUCAAUUUUAUAUCAUUUAUUAUUCGUAAUAGUUCUUUGUUACGAUGAUCAUAUUUUCUGGAGAAAAAUAGGGGACAAAAAUAAAAACUUAACUUUCUUGUAUAAUAUUCCUAAAUGAGAAACACAGUAAUUCUACAACUUCAAACUGUUUCGAUUGUAUUUUAAUUGGUUCAGUUAGAACUGUUCCAAUUAGUACAAACAUGAAAUAGAUUAAAAAUAAUAAGAUAAGAAGCGACGUAAUGUGAAUAAUUUCUAUUAAAAAAAUAUAAAAAAUGUAAUGAAUAUAAAACGAAAUAGAUUAAAUAUUUGCGUAGA